Molecule: long non-coding RNA, 660 nt
Organism: Maniola jurtina (meadow brown)
Lineage: Eukaryota; Metazoa; Arthropoda; Insecta; Lepidoptera; Nymphalidae
Exons: 3
Source: RefSeq, a predicted model, not a curated record
ACGAGUGACGGAGAGAGUCCUCUUAACGUUGCUUUAGACCUUGUUUACGUUUUUGUGGUGAGACACGAAGUUAUGAGUAUAAGUUUUUCAAGUUGAAAACGUGACACUGGAGUUACGCUAAUCUCCUUGUAGGCCGGGCCUCAAGAAUAUGACGAUCACAGUUUGACAUGACAAUUCUCACGCAGUACUUAAUUUAAUUUUAUUUAUUGAACUUAAAUUUAUUUUUUGAAUUUAAUAUUAUUUAUUGAAUGUAAUAUGAAUUAUUAAAUAUUUUUUUUGAAUCGCCUAAGCAUCUCGCGUCUAACAGCCAUAGAGUUUAAAGAAGAACCUUUCGGAUGCAAUUGACCAUUUAACGCUUGAUGGAAGGUCAAGUUGCUGAAAAUUAGAGUACUCUACUACUAAUCGGUUUUAAUGAAGGAUUUCUCCUUUACGCAUUAAUAAAAUAAUAUUACACCGUUGAUUUUCAUUCAACUUGUCGAUCAACUAGUUGAAUUUAUCAAUUAUUAUUUAUCUAGCGUUGUUAUUUUAAGUUUAACGGUUGAUUUAACGAGUUCGUUAAUUCAUCGCUAGGAUCGCUAGUGUAAGGCAGAUCCACACCUGCGCACGCGCACAAAUCGUGCACACAAUGCGCAUUAUAAGAACAUAAUUUGAUGUGGUUUG